Vicia faba (fava bean) is the source of this 249-nucleotide non-coding RNA. The record is from the annotation of a GenBank genome assembly. Lineage: Eukaryota; Viridiplantae; Streptophyta; Magnoliopsida; Fabales; Fabaceae.
AUGGAAGACAUUUUUUUCAGCUAUGAAGUUUUUGUCAUCUUAAAAGUGAAAGAGCAUUGGUAUCAGUGGUGGAGUCUUUCUGAGACACAUAUUUGGGUGGCUUGUUGGGAUGAAUCGCCUUAUUCACAACUAGAUGCAAAAACACACAAGUACAUCGAGGCAGAUGAUCACUUUGACAUGUCAAUGUUUGAUUCCUCCUUAAGCAUGCAUGAAAGUGGAAAUUCUCCGCAAGCAGAAAGAUUGACGUGA